AAUUAUUGAAAAAUGAUUUUUGGUACAAAUUCUCUCCCGUGUUCUAGAGAGUGCUAACCCUUCGGAGAAAUUGUUCCUUGUAAACAAUCGUUAACUCUCCAUCUUCCGCCCUAUCAACCGUCUCCUUUGCCUUCGGUGGUGAUGUUUUUCCUUUCUAUCAAUUUCGACGGUUUCUUGCAACUUUUUCUCCCUUUGAUUCCUCUGAUCUCUUUUAAAUUUCUAUACGUUCUUAAAUCUUUUGUUUUUUUUCCUUAACCCAUUGAGGUGAUUUCUUUUCAAAAUCUUUUAGUUUUGUCUCUUAUUCUAAGUGUUUGGUUUUUUUACUUCUCAUGCUUAUUUUGCUUUACUUGAUAUGACCAAUCUUUUAAGUUCUUCUCUAUUGGUGCCUUGUGUAGGUUUUGGCUUACCUCCAAUUUCUGAAGAUAUUCUAUUUUGUUUGUUAGCUUUGUUUUCUUUUAUUUGUUUGUGUUUUCACUGUUUGUGCUGAUUCUACCCCUUUACUGAUGUUAUUGUCGUUUGGCAUUUUCAAAUAUUGAAAGUUGAAGCGAAGCCUUUAAAUAGUGAAUACAUGGAGAACUGAUGCUUUUCAAAACCCAAUGAAUGUCUCAAGACACUCAACCUUUUACUUCUACUAAAUCACCUUAUAUUCUGCCCCAUAAGAGAAAAAUAGAGCAUGUUAUUUAUAGACAUAAGGGAAUUAGCUCUAAAAGUGAGGAGACCAGGAAGAAGUUAGGCUUUGCUUGGUAAAGGGAAAUAAAGUUGGAAGGAUGAAAAUUAGAAGGAUGACCAUAACUUUUUCUUUCCAUGCAUUGCUUGUUAGAGUUGAAAAUUAGAAGUAAAGAAAAUAAAAUAAAAUAUUUGAAAAUCACUCCCUCCUCUCAUCCUUUCAUUUUUCCAAUCAACCACGUACAUCCUUACAGAUCAUGGGAAAAACCCUCCCAGCAUCUAGGCCCAAUCACUAGAGCUCGUAGAGGAGCUGUUAUCCAAAUGAACUGGAUAUUGGUAAUGAAUCACAUCCUUACUAGAGACAAUGCUUAGUAUCCUAUUUGCUUGACAUAAGACAAUUUUAGCUUGUUCUGUUUAGAGAAUUAUGGAUAGUACGUGGAACAACUACUGUUCUAGGAAGGAAAGGCAACUAUAACUACAUUUACUUUGAAGAAAGCCAAGAUACUGACUUUAUUCUUAAUGAGAGCCCUUGGUUAAUGGAAAGAGGAUUCAUAAUAGACGAACUAGAGAAUUUCAUGUUGAUUCUUCACUAAUAUUGGUGCUGCUCUAGUGGUUACCUAACAAACUCAUGCUCCCAUAAGCCAUUCAAAUCAGUGAAGUCAUAGGGGAGGUAAUAGAGGUUGACUGGAGGCCUAUUUUCCCCUGUAAUAUAAGAUACAUAAAUCAUAUCUUUCAUGGGAAGGUAGAGGAUGAGACUUGAAGUUCCUUUCUAACUAAAAUAUUAUGAUUGCACCAGCAUGUUAAUUUUCUCCAUGCUACCUUGAAAGACUUUUUUCGUUCAAAUUUUGCAAUCGCUGGGUGUAUAUGCCCAGAGUUUUCAACUUUUGCUUGUAGUAAUUCCUGAUUUUCGGUAACUUCUAUGACAUGAACUACAUUUAAAACACACCAAAAUUCAGUUCUUCAAUUUUUUCUGCUUCUAUUUACUCUGCAAACUUUUAGGUAAAUCAUGGUUAUUAUACUGCAUCGGCUGAUGUUGGUCUAGAAGACUGUACUCUCCCAGGUUUAUUGGCUCGGUUCUCUUGAUGCAUAAUUGGUUAUAAUUUCUUAAUAUCAUUCCCUCUUAUAUUUUAUGAGUCAGGUAAGGUAAUUUCAACUUGAACUGUUUUCCCAACAAAAUCUGUUCAUGCCAAAACAAUGAACUUUAAGACAUCAAACUGUAAUUGAUCAAUGUUUUAAAUCCUGUUUAGCUUCAUUUUAUCUCUUCCUAUUCCCAACGUUUCAUUAUCAAUUCUCAAACAUGUAACUUUAAAUUUUGGUUAUAUUUAGUUCUAUAUAAGAUAAAGUAGUUAUUUUAAGACAAAUUUUAGUUGUUAAAAGUGUAAAGCUUAAAAAAUAUUUCGUAGAAAAAUAUAAUUUAUUUUGUGUUUGUUUUUUAUUGAGAAUGUUGGCAAUAAUUCUUUUGCAUAGGAGUAUAGGAUCAAUUUGAUUACCAAACUAUCACGACUCUAAUAGUUAAAAUAGGGUGAUAGAGAUUGAGAUGCAGACAAGGUUUCUCUCUUGAGACUAAACACGCCCUCUCAGUGAUAAUAACUUUUACAAAGAAGUUUAUUGCACGUCAUCCUUUAGGAUACAACAAGCACAACCAUCCACUAUACACUUUACUAACCUGUACACAAGUUAGAAGGUAGAAACUUUCUUCAUCCAAUUAAUUAGCAUUUCAAAAGGAACUUCUAAAAAAGAAAAUUUCUUUUUCUUUCUUGGAAAAUGGGAUGCCUUGAUGUUAUUAAUUAAUAUAAAUAACUUAAAAAGUAAUUGUAAUGCACACAAAUUAUAAGUUUAAAGAACUUAAAAUAAUAACUUGUAGUUGUUUAGAAGUUAUUAGAAGUGUGUUUUGUGCUUCUUCUUUUUUAAAUUAAAAUAGAUUAACAAUCUUUCACUUAAUUUAAUGAAAUAUUUUACGUACUAAUUUUUAAAGUCUUGAAUGAAGGUUGCUUUGCAACAAGCUUCAUAAGUUAGGACGAAAUGAUCAUGUGCUUUAUCCCAGUUAUAAUGAGUGUUCUAAAGAACAAACCUUGAUUUUAAUAGGAAACGACUUUCAGUUCCACACUAUGUAGGCAACGCUAUCAAGGAUGCUCUUAUGACUAUACAUCCCACUCAAACAACCUAUAGAACUCGUUAAGAGUAUAAAUGUAUUCAAUCUGUAUUACUAUUAUAUAAUCCAAACAUCACAUUAUAUGGAGGGAUUUAUAUAUAUUAUUUAUAUGUGCAUGUCAUCUACCCAUUUUAUGAUUUGUUUUUCCCUUUAAACUUAAUUGUUGGGAUCACCAAUCACUAUGCAUGCUAUCCUUAUAGUUUAUUUUUAUUCUUGUUUGGGCUUUAGUCUUAUCCCAACUUAAUGCUAUCCAAAUCUUUUUCUAGGUAGAGCUUUUGUCAAAUGAUUUACAAGCUUAUCACUACUUAGAAUAUAGUUAAAAUUAAUGGCACCCUUAGUUAUAUGAGAUCUCACGUAGGUAUGUUAUAUUUUUAUAUUUUAUUGUAAGAUUUGUUAUUUACUCUUCCAAUAGUUGCAAUACUAUCACAAUGAAUAAAGGCAAGUGCCACUGAUUUUUCCAUAUUGGAAUUUCAAGUAAAAAAAAUCUUGUAACCUCCUGAUUAAACACAUAACUAAUGAUAGAUAAUGACUCACAAGCCAAUGUAUUUCAAUUAGUAUCUUUAUAUCCUUAAAGUAUAGUAGGAUGCUUUUGAUAAA
RNAcentral lists this long non-coding RNA (3415 nucleotides) under Gossypium barbadense (sea-island cotton). RNAcentral describes it as "long non-coding RNA (GBAR_LNC000353)". The record is from RNAcentral. Lineage: Eukaryota; Viridiplantae; Streptophyta; Magnoliopsida; Malvales; Malvaceae.